UCGGACUAUAAAGUCUUGUACCUGAUUAUUAUUAGAUUAUUUUCUUGAAAAUUAAAAAAUUUGGCGGUAUCUCAGUCCAUUCAGAGGAAUCUGUCCCGUAAUUGAUAGUCCACGAUUUUAUCAAUUUCUUCUUUUAGUUUGCAUAUCGUCGUGUUUGAAUAUUUCAUUAGAAUUUAAAUGUUCAAUUAGUUUUAUAAGAAGUAAUGUCAGAUCAAGGUGCAGCUUAUGGGGAAGUGGAGAUGGAUUACAUUAUUUUUAUAUUUG
Molecule: ribosomal RNA, 264 nt
Filed under: Elateridae sp. CO1077
Lineage: Eukaryota; Metazoa; Arthropoda; Insecta; Coleoptera; Elateridae
Description: partial 12S ribosomal RNA
Source: RNAcentral